AAGUCGUAACAAGGUUUCCGUAGGUGAACCUGCGGAAGGAUCAUUACUGAAUUUAUGACAAGGUUGUAGCUGGCCCUAUCCGGGCAUGUGCACGCCUUGCUCAUUCCAAUUCUUACACCUCUGUGCACUCAACAUGGGCUGGUCGUAGGCUUUUGUCUUGCUUCACUGUGAGACGGGCUUUGACCUGCCUGUGGUUACUCUACAAACACUUUAAAGUAUUAGAAUGUAACAUCGCGGAUAAUAAACGCAUCUUAUACAACUUUCAGCAACGGAUCUCUUGGCUCUC
RNAcentral lists this unclassified non-coding RNA (286 nucleotides) under fungal sp. RNAcentral describes it as "partial internal transcribed spacer region". The stretch from base 1 to 46 matches the Rfam family "Eukaryotic small subunit ribosomal RNA", at positions 1786 to 1831 of the family's 1831-position model. The record is from RNAcentral. Lineage: Eukaryota; Fungi.